This 278-nucleotide ribosomal RNA is filed under the name Candidatus Shapirobacteria bacterium CG09_land_8_20_14_0_10_47_13. RNAcentral's name for it is "partial 16S ribosomal RNA". It matches the Rfam family "Bacterial small subunit ribosomal RNA", at positions 1 to 299 of the family's 1533-position model. Lineage: Bacteria; Candidatus Shapironibacteriota. The record is from RNAcentral.
UUGAGAGUUUGAUCCUAGCUCAGGAUGAACGCUGGCGGCGUGCUUUAAGCAUGCAAAUGGAACGGCCCCGACGCAAGUCGGGACAGUCGUGGACGGGUGAGUAAGGCGUAGGAAUCUACCUCGAAGUGGAGAAUAGCCCCGCGAAAGUGGGAGUAAUUCUGCAUGUAUCCGCAAGGAAAAAGGGCGUAACUGCUCGCUUCGAAAUGGGCCUACGUCCCAUCAGCUUGUUGGUAGGGUAAUGGCCUACCAAGGCUAUGACGGGUAGGGGCGCUGAGAGG